AACCCAUGUUGAGGCCAUUUCCGUAGGAGCUCCUUGAACCUGUCCUAUGUAUCAAAAAGAGACUCCAAUUCCGUCUGCACAAAAAAUGAUAUCUCAUUCCUGAGAUU
Molecule: small nucleolar RNA, 107 nt
Organism: Dioscorea cayenensis subsp. rotundata (Guinea yam)
Lineage: Eukaryota; Viridiplantae; Streptophyta; Magnoliopsida; Dioscoreales; Dioscoreaceae
Source: RefSeq, a predicted model, not a curated record